Molecule: long non-coding RNA, 317 nt
Organism: Tarenaya hassleriana
Lineage: Eukaryota; Viridiplantae; Streptophyta; Magnoliopsida; Brassicales; Cleomaceae
Exons: 2
Source: RefSeq, a predicted model, not a curated record
CCUCCGCCUCCUCUCUCACACAACACAAGCCGUUUUCAUCUGUUUGGCUCUUCCUUGUUCUCCAGCACAGUUUCUCUCGAAAUCUUUUGGUUUUGUUGUAUAGCAUUCGUUCCUCAUUUCGUUUUGUCGAUUUUCCGGGUAAAAAUGGGCCGAGAGGCGAAGAGGGGAGAGCUACGAUCUAAUGGCUCUGAAAAGACCUGUAGGUUUUCUACGGGGUGCCCUGCCUCAUUGGCCCUCCACAUCAAGCCGACGAUGGCAUCAUAGAUUCCCAUAACAGGAAGCAUCAAUGGCAUGAUUUGGCAGCGCUCAAGAAUGAA